This 253-nucleotide ribosomal RNA is filed under the name Stenotrophomonas maltophilia. RNAcentral's name for it is "partial 23S ribosomal RNA". It matches the Rfam family "Bacterial large subunit ribosomal RNA", at positions 340 to 604 of the family's 2925-position model. The record is from RNAcentral. Lineage: Bacteria; Pseudomonadati; Pseudomonadota; Gammaproteobacteria; Lysobacterales; Lysobacteraceae.
CACGUGUGAGUGGCAUAGACGUGAUAGCCCUGUAUCUGAAGGGCCAUUUCAGUGAAGACGAGUAGGGCGGGGCACGUGUAAAUCCUGUCUGAACAUGGGGGGACCAUCCUCCAAGGCUAAAUACUACUGACCGACCGAUAGUGAACCAGUACCGUGAGGGAAAGGCGAAAAGAACCCCGGAGAGGGGAGUGAAAUAGAACCUGAAACCGUGUGCGUACAAGCAGUAGGAGCUCCGCAAGGAGUGACUGCGUAA